CCAAACAAACAAACAAAAAAAAAAAAACAACCCCAAACAACAGUAUCUGCAGAAUAAUAAGCUGGAUCAGUUUCCAAAAGAUGAUGCCAGAGGAUUAGAACCUCCUGCCUUGCAAAAUGGAUCUAUUUUCAUAACAUUGGAGACCCCGCCUGUCUCAAGCCAAGACCAUGAUCACACCACCCCCUCUGUAAAGUGACUCAGCACCAGUGGUCAACUCAGCAAUACUUGCUCUUCCUUCAGAAUAAAACUAAGCUCUGAACUUUUCCAGCUGAGUCAUUUCCAGGCUCAUAUUUAUAACACAAACUGUGAUUCAUUCCCAAUUUGUCUCGUCUUGGAUUUCAUGCCAGGACCAACUGGAAGAGAUAUGCCCUUCCACUCUUCCAGGAUGUAUUGCAAGGAGCUGGAAAGAAUUUUGGUGUUCUGUGUAAGCACCAUGUUAAUACACAGUGCUGAUACUGUGUCGCUGUGGUGGCAUUAUAAUAUUUUCCAUUAUUAGCAGAUUAAAUAACUUUUACACUAUUUCAGGCAAAAUUUUAAAGCAUGGACUUAUUUUCAUUUGCAAUCUUUCUGGAAAAAAAAAAGUAGAAGCAAGUUAUCUCUACAAAAUUAGGUCAUUGCAGGUAUAGGUCUUUUAUAAGUAGAAUCAGGUACUUCAAUAUUUAAAUUUAAAGGGAAAAAUACUUACAGAUAAUGGGCAUCAUCUAUCAAGGUAUUUUCUGAGAUCUCUUUCCUUAUAGCCAAACUAAUAUCCAGACUUGGGAAGAAACAGUGAAAUGUUAACUAUAUACCAGAUUUGGUGUACAUUUUUUAUUUUAAAACCAUUUCCUGUAAAGGAAAGUUGUGUAAAACCCAAAUCUGUACUUUGACUAAGGUUAUUUCUUUUGAUUUUCAGGAAACUAGAUCCUGAAAUUAUGCUAAGAUGCUAAUCAUUAAAAAAAAACAUUUCUUUUAAAGACAAAUUUAGAUGAUACACACUGUUAUCCUAGUAUGUAUCUGCCAUUAUUAAGCAGAACAUAAUGUCACUAUUUAGGAAAGCAAGGCAAACAGGAUGUGGUCCUAGAUGUGAGUACAAUAUUGAUCCUGGAUUCUGCCUAUCUUAACAGGGAAAGGCUUUUGUAUGCAGUCACUAAAAAGAGCUCAGAGCAGCGAGGUAUGAAAAUGUGUGAUUUUGCUAUCACUGGAUGUGCACACUGAUAGCAUUCUCCCUUGACACUUUUUUUCCAGUUUACUGGAUGUCCUCUCCCACUAAGUUUAGAUUUUUUCACCUAGUUAUCUCCACUGCCUUUUGAACAUUUCCUUCUGUAUCACCUAGCUCAGCUAAUUGCUUCAUGACUUCCCUUCUAAUCCAAUUUUUUCUCAUCUGUUAUUCUUUUCUAAAUCCUGGCACAAUAUAAUCUUUUUUUUUCAGAUUAAUUUCCAUGCUACUAUGUGAGACUAUCCCCAUCCUUCAGCAUCAUAGAAACAUCACAGAACAGGUCCUUUUCCUGCAGCUUGGCAGUAGAACAUUAGAACUCCAGGAAUUCAUUAAUGUUAACAGUUAAAUUAAAUAAAGGUGUUUUUAAAACUAAUUAAUUAAUUUUGAAAAAGGAAAAAAGUCAGUUUGCAGAUAAAGCUUUCCUUACCAAAUGCCAUUAAGAGCAUUGCGUUCUAUCACCAGAUAUUUUUCUCACAUAAACGUGACUGUCAGUCCCUUGGUUGAUAUGUAAAGUAAUUAUAUCAAACCUGCCAGGGUAAAUCAUUUUUAUUCAUAGAGAGUAAUACUCAAGCAAGUUUUCUGCUUAAACAUGAUGCAGAAACAUUUUGUAAAACAUCUUGUAGCAACCUACACAAAAAAAAUCAGUGAUGGAGCCCUAAUUUUGAGCUAAGAAUCAUGCAGUCCCACUGAAGUCUCUCUUGGCCUGGACUGAGAGAUGCAGGGUUUGCUGAAGAUAAAGAUAUACCCCUUUAAAAUAAACAAGCACUUGAAGUAGUUGAAUAUUACUAGUUUUAAAAUAUCUGAGCCUUGUAUAUCCCCAGGGUCUCUUUGUUUGCAUCUCCUUAAACAAUAAAAGCCAUUAUUAAGAACAUGAAUAAUGUGGCAUGCUAUCAUAUUAGGAUAUAAUUAAAAACAAGACAGCAAAGCCUUAAAGCUGUGCUGAACAUACCACAUAUAUUGCAGUCUUCUACAUUUGUUCUGAAUUAAAAUUCUGCUUCUUUCCUGAAACCUCUCAUCUGCUCCUCACACAGCAGCUAGUGCCUAUUUGAAAAAAUAUUCACUUUUGGCAGAACAGCUGUACCAUUAGCUCUGGACUGGGGGAGUGGGGGAAACCAAUCUACAUGCUUCCCCAAGCACCCUUUCUCUCUGGCUGUUGGGGAGGGCUUAGGGAGCCACGGGAGCAGGAAAACUUCACUCCUCACAGAGCAUCUCGUCAUGUGGCCAGGCUGACAGAUCACCAAACACCCAGCCCCACAGUCUAUCCCCUGGAGGCAGCACAUCUACCCCCUCUUUUCCCAAGGUACCAGCUUCCACUCUACAGCAGUCCCAUGGGGGCCUCUUCCACAGCAAAAGGACUGAAUCUGCAGCUGUGAUCAUAGCCAGGACUUCUUCAGGACCAUUCAGACUUGUAUAAAACGAAAUUAAGGCACCCACACAUUCUUCCACCGAGCACUCCAUUCUCAGAGCCAGCUUUCUCUCACUAAGCUAUUUACCUAACCUCAAAUACCGUGCUAAAAGCCAAGAACAUGGUGGCAGGUGACCUAAUUGUACUCAGCUAUCAGUUUACUCAGAUCCAGGAGUGAUGCCAGGCAAACACAGACUGCUGUAGGAACCAGUGCUUUGUGACAGCUCCUCUUCCCACCUUCCCUGCUGCUGCAGCUGGUUGGCAUCACAGAGAAAAGCAAGCAGAAGGCUCUCAACCUGCCUAAAGCCUCUGCAAGUGGUCAGUGUGCUCUGCCGAUUGAUUUUAACUCACAAUUCCUCUCUUCCUUGAAGAGUAACCAGGCUAGGUCCCUUAAGCACUGCCCAUAAUGCCAACCUAAACCUCUUCAACUCCAUAACCUCCUCAGACUUGUCAGACUGUGAAGAAAUCACCAGGACUUUGUGGCCAGGGAGAAUGGAGGCCCUCGAGGGCAAGAAGGAGCUCUAAGAAGUAUUCAGAUAACAACCUGGGGGCUGCAUUUCUUCAGCCAGAGGUCAGAAGAGUUCAGAGGCUUUGGGGAUGACCAACAAAACUAUUAGUUGCAGAUAUUCCAGAAAUAUGUCUGGAAAAGGUCUUCCCAGGCCUGCUCAGGACCAUUGCUAAAGCCAGCUGUGGACUCAUACCAGACCUGAAACACUGGAAACCUGCUGAACAAGGAUGGCAGCUAUAAACAGUGUAGGUUCUUUGGUGUCUGGCUUUGCUUUUGUGGUUUUGUCUGAAGAGGUGAGUGAGCUGGUGUUGUCCCAGCUGAAGUGGCUCAGCACACAAACCUUUAACCAGUCUGAAGGCUAAUCCAGCAAAAUACAAUGACCUAUUGCUCCCUUGGGCAGGAUUAAGAGCUGUUUAAAAUGAAAUAUACUUGGGGGAGAGAUAUGGGUGAUACUGGGGACCCCCAACUGAGGGGUUUCUAAUGCCUUUCCUUGUGUUCAUGGGCUUUUCUGUUUUAUUGCCCAGGCAGUGAAACUCUAGCUCUUGAUUGCCCAAAAUUCAGCUAGAAGAUCAGACUUCAGCCAGGAGCUUUGAGCGACUCCAUAAGGAAUAUCAACAGGGACAAAGCCUUCCCCCUCACACACUAUGACCUCUACCAGUGAGAAGAGGUUUGGUAGGGGGAAGUGGUUGGUUUGACUUGGGGGGUGAAUUUUGUUCUUUUUCAGCCAUCAAAGCAUUAGACUUCUCAGGAAUAAAACACAUGGUAAACCGACAAAUUUGUUCAAUCUCCUGACACACUGUCCUUAGCAUGACCAGCAGCUCAGAAGAUUUCAGAUCUGUCAACCCGUGCCAUGGCCCUACCUUAUGAAGCAGAGAUGCCGUGUCACAGCAGUAUAUUCUUACCCAAGGGUCCAGUAGAAACAUGCCACGUUGCCCAUUCAAGCAGAGAGCAAGGCCUGGUUUCAGAUACAACUUUUCAGAUAAAACUUUUCAGAUGUGGGUAGAGCCAGUUGUGACAGAAUAGUAAAACUGAAAAGACAAGCUCUUGAUGAAGCUUUUUCCGAAGUCUAGAGUGCUGCUAUGGAGACCAUCCUUGAAAGCAGGCUCAGUGCCUGUUUUGCAGAGCUUUCAAGUUUUACCACAGGGAAGGAAAGUGAUCUUUAGAUUUUGCCCUGUUGCCUGAUCUAUUGCUCUAUGUCUUGUUCCUGCCUCACCAGGGCAACAACUUCUUAUUAUCUGUAUUGUUUCAGCUAAUUAUUCCAUUAAUGAUUCAGCUAAUAUAGUUUAAUACAGGAAGUGUAGAUGUCACAUCAUUAAACAAUUAUUUACGUAUUCUAGACCUUUACCAUAAUCCAACUUGAGAUUUGUUAAUUUAUUUCUCCUCUGGUGUUUAUGAGGUAUGACAUCCUGCAAGCAACUAAUUCUGGGUCUCUGUUCUCUUUGAGAUUUAAUCAGCGUUUGAGACUUACUUCUGGUAUUAUGCCAGGAUAACUAGAAAGCAAGAACAAGCAAGCUUUCCAGCAUUUGGCAGCUCCUUUAAAACAAGUAGAAUUUUAGCAGUUGAUGUGAAACCCAUAAAAAC
This 4689-nucleotide long non-coding RNA is filed under the name Taeniopygia guttata (zebra finch). RNAcentral's name for it is "lncRNA (ENSTGUG00000025175.1)". The record is from RNAcentral. Lineage: Eukaryota; Metazoa; Chordata; Aves; Passeriformes; Estrildidae.